AUGAUGAGACUUCCGUACCGGGGUAUCCCGGGCGGCUCGGUGAGAACCACGGAGGGGUAGAACGGCCCAUGG
This 72-nucleotide non-coding RNA is filed under the name unclassified sequences. RNAcentral describes it as "pemK RNA". It matches the Rfam family "pemK RNA". The record is from RNAcentral.